Molecule: ribosomal RNA, 253 nt
Filed under: uncultured bacterium
Lineage: Bacteria
Description: partial 16S ribosomal RNA
Rfam family: Bacterial small subunit ribosomal RNA
Source: RNAcentral
UACGAAGGGUGCAAGCGUUACUCGGAAUUACUGGGCGUAAAGCGUGCGUAGGUGGUGAGUUAAGUCUGUCGUGAAAGCCCCGGGCUCAACCUGGGAAUGGCGAUGGAUACUGGCUCGCUAGAGUGCGGUAGAGGAGAGUGGAAUUCCCGGUGUAGCAGUGAAAUGCGUAGAGAUCGGGAGGAACAUCAGUUGCGAAGGCGGCUCUCUGGGCCGAUACUGACGCUGAGGAGCGAAAGCGUGGGGAGCGAACAGG